Molecule: ribosomal RNA, 521 nt
Filed under: Trachysphyrus agenor
Lineage: Eukaryota; Metazoa; Arthropoda; Insecta; Hymenoptera; Ichneumonidae
Description: partial 16S large subunit ribosomal RNA
Rfam family: Archaeal large subunit ribosomal RNA (bases 391-521)
Source: RNAcentral
AACAUGUCUUUAAGAUUAUAAUUUAAAGUCUAAUCUGCUCCAUGAUUAAUAUUAAAUAGCUGCAGAAUCUUGACUGUACAAAGGUAGCAUAAUCAAUAGUUUUUUAAUUAAAAGCUGGAAUGAAAGAUUUGAUAAGGUAAAUAUUGUCUCAAGUUUAAUAAAGUUAUAAUUUUCUUUUUAGUAAAAAUGCUAAACUGAAUUUAAAAGACGAGAAGACCCUAUAGAAUUUUAUAUUUUUAAUUAAAUUAAUUUAUAUAUUUAAUUUAUAUAUUAAUGAAUAAAUAUUAGGUUGGGGAAAUUAUUAAAUUAAUUAAAUUUUAAUAUUAAUUAAACAAAAAUUAUUGAUUUUUUGAUCUUAAAUUUUAAAUUAAUAGAACAAAUUACCUUAGGGAUAACAGCGUAAUUUUUUUUGAGAGAUCUUAUUAAUAAAAAAGUUUGCGACCUCGAUGUUGAAUUAAGAUUAAAUUUUAAUGAAGAAGUUAAAAAUUUUUGGUCUGUUCGACCAUUAAAAUCUUACGUGA